This 423-nucleotide ribosomal RNA is filed under the name uncultured soil bacterium. Its description in RNAcentral is "bacterial SSU rRNA". It matches the Rfam family "Bacterial small subunit ribosomal RNA", at positions 26 to 435 of the family's 1533-position model. The record is from RNAcentral.
AGGACGAACGCUGGCGGCGUGGAUUAGGCAUGCAAGUCGCGCGACAGACCUCCGGGUUAUGGAGCGGCGAACGGGUGAGUAACACGUGAACAAGCUGUCCCUACAUUCCGGAUAAUUGGACCGAAAGGCCUUGUAAGUACGGGGGGAGGAUCCUCAUUAGGCAUUCUUUUGAGGAAGGAACGCGAGAGCGGUGGCGGGGGAGGUGUUCGCGGCCUAUCUAGUUAGUAGGUGGGGUAACGCCUACCUAGACAACGACGGGUAGCUGGUCUGAGAGGAUGGUCAGCACAUUGGAACUGAGACACUGUCCAGACCUCCGUACGGGAGGCUGGCCAGUCGAAGUAAUCGUUGGGACAAUGACACGAAAGUGGUACGACCCAGCGACGCCGCGUAGGAGAAGACGGUCCGUUGGUUAGUAACUCUUUA